CGCGUAGGCGGACCUCCAAGUCAGAUGUGAAAUCUGUCGGCUUAACCGGCAGCCUGCAUUUGAAACUGUGGGUCUUGAGUGCAGGAGAGGAGAGCGGAAUUCCAGGUGUAGCGGUGAAAUGCGUAGAUAUCUGGAAGAACACCAGUUGCGAAGGCGGCUCUCUGGACUGACACUGACGCUAAAGCGCGAAGGCUUGGGUAGCAAACAGGAUUAGAUACCCUGGUAGUCC
This 229-nucleotide ribosomal RNA is filed under the name uncultured bacterium. Its description in RNAcentral is "partial 16S ribosomal RNA". It matches the Rfam family "Bacterial small subunit ribosomal RNA", at positions 568 to 796 of the family's 1533-position model. The record is from RNAcentral.